RNAcentral lists this ribosomal RNA (725 nucleotides) under uncultured Bacilli bacterium. RNAcentral describes it as "bacterial SSU rRNA". It matches the Rfam family "Bacterial small subunit ribosomal RNA", at positions 60 to 769 of the family's 1533-position model. Lineage: Bacteria; Bacillati; Bacillota; Bacilli. The record is from RNAcentral.
AGUAGAACGCUGAAGCUUGGUGCUUGCACCGAGCGGAUGAGUUGCGAACGGGUGAGUAACGCGUAGGUAACCUGCCUCUUAGCGGGGGAUAACUAUUGGAAACGAUAGCUAAUACCGCAUAAAAGUCAAUAUCGCAUGAUAUUGAUUUGAAAGGUGCAAAUGCAUCACUAAGAGAUGGACCUGCGUUGUAUUAGCUAGUUGGUGAGGUAACGGCUCACCAAGGCGACGAUACAUAGCCGACCUGAGAGGGUGAUCGGCCACACUGGGACUGAGACACGGCCCAGACUCCUGCGGGAGGCAGCAGUAGGGAAUCUUCGGCAAUGGGGGCAACCCUGACCGAGCAACGCCGCGUGAGUGAAGAAGGUUUUCGGAUCGUAAAGCUCUGUUGUAAGAGAAGAACGAGUGUGAGAGUGGAAAGUUCACGCUGUGACGGUAUCUUACCAGAAAGGGACGGCUAACUACGUGCCAGCAGCCGCGGUAAUACGUAGGUCCCGAGCGUUAUCCGGAUUUAUUGGGCGUAAAGCGAGCGCAGGCGGUUAGAUAAGUCUGAAGUUAAAGGCUGUGGCUUAACCAUAGUACGCUUUGGAAACUGUUUAACUUGAGUGCAGAAGGGGAGAGUGGAAUUCCAUGUGUAGCGGUGAAAUGCGUAGAUAUAUGGAGGAACACCGGUGGCGAAAGCGGCUCUCUGGUCUGUAACUGACGCUGAGGCUCGAAGCGUGGGGAGC